AUUAGUUGGGGCAAAAUACGCGCCCUGCAAAAGACAAAACAUAACCGACGCCUUAUACGUCGGUUAUUUUUUUGC
Molecule: non-coding RNA, 75 nt
Organism: Pantoea wallisii
Lineage: Bacteria; Pseudomonadati; Pseudomonadota; Gammaproteobacteria; Enterobacterales; Erwiniaceae
Source: Rfam